CCCUGCGGGGAUCUGGAGGGACAGAGGUGGAAGAGAGGGACUGCAUCACCAAGGACCCUGAAUGCCACCUUAAGCAGUUUAGACUUUUAUCUUAAAGGGUGCGAGCAGCAACCAAAGGAAUUUUAGACCAUAAAGAACAUGUCUUAAUUUCACAAGGUAAGUUAUUUCCUCAAAUACCGGCAUCCGGAGGCCUUGAAGCCAGCCCCGACCUGCUGGAGAGAGGGAUCAAGCUGGGCUGGAUCAGAACCAUGCUGUGUUGGCAGUGGCCUUGGGAAGGCUAGAAGGCGGACCUUGGUCAGGAUGACUGGGUUUGACUGGUUACCUUGGCCUGUCUGGCAGUGUCAUGUGGAACAAAUAAAUCACGGAAUACCUUCGGUCUGACCCGUUGUCGCAGAGCUAUUUCAUGUCAUUCUUAAAAUAACUUGUGAAUUUAGCACCGAGGCCACUCCCAACCUGGGGUUGCCGGCAGCAUCCGAUGGGAUAACAGGCAUGCAGGUGUGUGAUAGACCAUGGAGAGCCGCGUGCCUCCGGGGACUGACAUCCAGCAGGAGCCAAGGCCCAGAACACUGCAGAGCCGAGUGACACUGCCCCGCGUGGGCCAGAAGGCCAAGGUCUCCCUGGUGACAGCCUCCCACAUACUUGAGCUGGGUGGUAGGUGGUGUUAGUUAAGGUUCCAGAGCACAAUAUGACGCCCAAUUCUCCCCUCCCCCGUUACAGCUCCCUCAGAGUUCUGAGCUGGGACAGUGGGUGCUAAGCAGAGGAAGGUCACGUCCAUGGUGGCUCCUCGUCCUGGGGUCCCUGGGGUGGGCCAGGGGAGUGCCCUGAUAUUCCGGAUCCAGAAUUCCUGCUUGCUUGGAUUUGUGUGCAAAGAUCUGAGAAGCAAAGCAUGUGGAAAAAGAUGGAGGGUCUUCGUAAUGAACUGUUGGUUCAUUGAUUUGUCACUGUGACUGUCAGUCACCUCCUAGUCCCUCAGAUGUCUAGGUCAAGAAUCUUCACUUGUAUCAUAUUUUGUUUAUUUAUUAAUAUCCUGUUCUUGAGCCCAGAGCAAAGGGUAUGUGUGUUAUAAGGUUUAUCAGACAGAAACAGAUAAUCAGAACCCUGGAGAGGAAGAUGGAUCAGACCAGGUUUCAUGGGAAGUUAUUCUCCAUGAAUGUAUAAAAUGUCAAAAUACACUCUACUGUCAUGUAUAUCUAAAAAGAACAAAUAAAAAAAGUAAAAA
Ictidomys tridecemlineatus (thirteen-lined ground squirrel) is the source of this 1219-nucleotide non-coding RNA. NCBI's taxonomy places the organism in Eukaryota, Metazoa, Chordata, Mammalia, Rodentia, Sciuridae. The record is from RefSeq and is a predicted model, not a curated record.